This is a non-coding RNA of Martensiomyces pterosporus, 73 nucleotides long. NCBI's taxonomy places the organism in Eukaryota, Fungi, Kickxellomycota, Kickxellomycetes, Kickxellales, Kickxellaceae. The record is from the annotation of a GenBank genome assembly.
GCCCGCUUAGCUCAGUUGGCAGAGCGGCACCCUCGUAAGGUGAAGGUCAUUAGUUCGAUUCUGAUAGUGGGCA